CGGUCUACGGCACUAUUUCGUGGAUCAGAGUGCGAUCCAACGGCAUAGGUUGAUCCCGAUAAUGAUCCAAUGGUGCAGGGCCUUAUUUGGUUGAUCUUAGGACUCCUAAUCACUAUCUAACACGGGCUUUAAGCCUUUUUAAGGCUGAUCUGGGAACAGAGAGUAGGGAGGUUCGACUGGUGGUCCUGUGCAGUGCGGACGGGCUUCAACAGUGAAGAGCCCGAGUCCGUGAAGAGAGAGAGAGAGACUGUGACACUGUGGAGUGAAGGAGCAAGAGGCUCUUGGACAGUAGACAGCAGUCACUUCAGGGGUUCAGGAGGGUCUUCUAAGAGAGAGAGCUUUUGUGAGGGGAACUUUCUGUGAGAGAGAGAUUGGGUGUAUGAGGGUUGAGGGUGAGAUCUCCUCUUGUAAAAUUUUUUUUCAUAGUGAAGUUUGCAUGCCCCGUGGAGGCGAGUCCUUUUGUGGCUGAUUCACGUAUUUUGAUUGUUUUUGUUUUGUUUCUUCUUUUUUUCUGUUGCAUCGCGCAGUACCGAAAAGGUUUUGAGAGGUGGUGUCCUGGCCAGACAUCCAUCCAACACUUAUCGUUGGAGAUCAUAGUGGAUCGAUUGUAAUUUUAAGCUUAAGCUGAGAAUUGGCACUUCAGGAGUUGUUAUAAAUUUACUCAUGCUAACAAAACUCGAAGUAUUCAUUUCUUGGGGAGAUUAACAUUAAAGUUCGACGAUCAUUUUGGUGAUAUAUUAAAUGCAAGUGUUGUUAGUUGUCCUGCCUUUGCAGAAGCCCUACCAAGUUUAUGCAGUCUCCUGAUAGUGAGAGUGUGGGGAGGAGCUGUGUGUUGUUCAGAUGAUGCAUCAAGAUUCUUUUAUGGUGUUGGAAGUA
RNAcentral lists this long non-coding RNA (876 nucleotides) under Elaeis guineensis (African oil palm). Its description in RNAcentral is "long non-coding RNA (EGUI_LNC073754)". The record is from RNAcentral. Lineage: Eukaryota; Viridiplantae; Streptophyta; Magnoliopsida; Arecales; Arecaceae.